AUGAUUCUGGCUUCAUAUCUUUCAGUUUUUCUGGCUGUUGCUGUAAUUUGUUCUUUCAUGAUUUCCACAGCUUCUUCAAUUUUUCUGGUGUUCAGCCAGUACUUUCGGAUCAGGUAUUGCUUGAUUUUGUCAUUCUUCAGUUUCUUCUCUUUCAUAUUUUUCAGGUUACUUGCAUCUGAUCUAAGUUUCUUGAUUUUCAACUCUAUUAUUUAUUAUUAUUAUUAUUAUGGCUAUGGCCAUAAAAUUGUUCUGAAGCAAAUAUCUCAUUGUUCCUAGCUGCCAGAUUUGGGGAAUUAAUCUCUCUCCCUGUCUUGAUCUAUACUGCAGGCUUUGCUGUAGAUCUCAGUGCCUGGCCGUACUCCCGUAAACCAUUUCAUAACCAACGUCCCAGUGACGGCAUCCUUCAUUUUGGAUGCAGCCACCUUUCCUCCCAGUUUGUAAUCAACUCCCGUGGGCUGUUUUUAAGAUAUAUCGAAUUCCUGCCGUUUUCUCUUUAAGAAACAAAGCACAGUGAAUAAUGCAGUGCUGGAAAGGCUUUGGAGGCUUAGUUCUGCCAGAGCAGAGGUCUAAAAGGAAAUCUAUAAUGGGCUCCUUGGAGUCUCCUAAAUGAAGCUUACGUCUCUUUGUGAUGCAAUGAAUGGCCUGUGAGUCAUCUUGCUGUAUGGCCACACAUACUGAAGGGAAGAGGGACAGUUCUGGAAAAUGCAGGGCUGCAGGAAUAUCUGUCAUGGUUAUCCUUUGGGUAAGAAAAUAAUCCCAUUAGCGGAGGAGGGGAGCCGGGGUUUGGAGGGACGCCAUGCCUCAAACGGGCCCUUUGUAUCCCACCUCUUCCCUUCUGGAGCUUGCAAAGCACAGGCCUUGGCACAAACAACCCUGAAAUACUCAUCAUGAAAUAUUGAUACCGCCCGAAAUCACAGACCUUAUGAAAUAAUUUUGGGGGAGGUAGGCGGGUGGCUGGGUUACAGUUGGAGGGGAACAGGUUUUGUAACUGUCUCUGGCACUAAUAAAGCCUCGCACUGAAAAUGAGUCAUUCUCGAAGAAAUCUGGCAUGGCCUGAUUAUGUAACCCAAAACUUGAUAAAGAAGGAACAGAUUGAGCAUCAGAAAACGCAACACGGCUCGGCUUCCGAGGGUGACUUUUCGUCGCAGGCCUAUUCCUCACACGCUUAACUCCGCGACGUGUUUUAAUUUCCCCGAACCCCCGAGGAAUUGGCUGCCUCUGUGUUUCCUCCUCUUCUUUGACCUUGCUGUAGUUUAUUAAUUUAACUUAGAUUGCUUUCUUUAAAAUUUAAAAAAAAAAAGCGGCGGCGGCUUGUUUUCAAAUCGAGAAACAGCGACCGAAUCUGUGUUCCCAUCAUUAUAGAUAAUGUAGUCGCGGCCGUUGCGGCAUUCGGGCGUAACUACAUUUGGCAUCAGGGAGACGGGGGGGGGGGGGGGCUCUUAUGGGAGCGAGGACGGAAUCCAUAAUCAUGCAAGAUGUUUACUUCUCAGGCCUUUCUCCUCCUCCUCUUCCUCCUCCUUCUCUGGCUGUCUCAGGUUCCCAUCAGCAUUCAUUCUCAAGAUUGUAGGUGCCGUUUUGCACUGUCUCGGUUUCUCCCGUAUUCCCAUCACUUCUCUGUUUUCCAUACAGUCAUUGGCUUGUGUGUAUAUAGCUGGCUUUCAAUACUCUUGGCUUUGAGAAAGGAAUAACCAUUUCCUAUAUCCCACCUGAGCUAUUCUUGGUUGAGAGCAGCACCUAACAUUUUACUGAUGGUGUCAGACAAAGCGUUUUAAUUUCUCUAAUACGGUAAAGAUUUCCCCUGACGUUAAGUCCAGUCGUGUCCGACUCUGGGUGUUGGUGCUCAUCUCCAUUUCUCAGCCGAAGAGUCGGCGUUGUCCGUAGACACCUCCAAGGUCACGUGGCCAUUGGCAUGACUGCAUGGAGCGUUGUCUACCUUUACCUAUUGAUCUACUCAACAUUUGUAUGUUUUCGAACUGCUAGGUUGGCAGAAGCUGGGGCUAACAGCAGGAGCUCACCCCACUCCCCGGAUUCGAACCGCCAACCUUUCGUUCAGCAAGUUCAGCGGCUCAGCAGUUUAGCCCGCUGCACCAUUGGGGGCUCCAAUUUCUAUAUACAGUAGAGUCUCACUUAUCCAAGCUAAACGGGCCGGCAGAAGCUUGGAUAAGCGAAUAACUUGGAUAAUAAGGAGGGAUUAAGGAAAAGCCUAUUAAACAUCAAAUUAGGUUAUGAUUUUACAAAUUAAGCACCAAAACAUCAUGUUAUACAACAAAUUGGACAGAAAAGGUAGUUCAAUACGCAGUAAUGUUAUGAUGUAAUUACUGUAUUUACGAAUUUAGCACCAAAAUAUCAUGAUAUAUUGAAAACAUUUGACUACAAAAAAGGCUUGGAUUAUCCAGAGGCUUGGAUAAGCGAGGCUUGGAUUAGUGAGACUCUACUGUAUAUAAAAGAGUGAUGGCAUCACGGCGACCCACAAAACAGCAAAACUACAGGCCCCCCAACCUCGAAAUUUGACAACACAACCCAUCAUCCACGGCUCUAGGUUGAUACAACAAAAAGAAAAGAAAAAUAAAGUCCUAAUUAGAGAGAGAGGAAUAAUUGCUUUUAUCCAAUUGCUGCCAGUUAGAAGGCUAAGCUCCUCCAACUUGGUCUCCUAGCAACCCAAUAAAAAAUAAUAAAAAACACUAAAAAAUAAUUUAAAACACUAAAAAUUAAUACAAUAAAAUACGAUAAUAACAGAAAAUAACUAAAAAUAAUACAAGAAAAUAAUAAAAUAUAAUAAAUAAAAAGAUAACUUACAAUAAAAUUAAUUAAAAAAUACAAAUAACGUCAAAUAAAAAUCACACAACAAUUUUUAACCAAUACCACCACCACUUUGCCACAGCAAUGCGUGGCCGGGCACAGCUAGUCUCUAUCUAAAAGAAAUGCACACAUUUGUGAGAUGUCGCAGUGGCGCAGUGGGUUAAACCGCUGAGCUGCUGAACUUGCUGACCAGAAGGUUGGUGGUUCGAAUCUGCAGGAUGGGGUGAGCUCCCCGUUAGCCCCAGCUUCUGCUAACGUAGCAGUUUGAAAAUAU
This 3073-nucleotide long non-coding RNA is filed under the name Anolis carolinensis (green anole). Its description in RNAcentral is "lncRNA (ENSACAG00000036972.1)". The record is from RNAcentral. Lineage: Eukaryota; Metazoa; Chordata; Lepidosauria; Squamata; Anolidae.